UCGGGUGUGUGUGGAGGGGACCCUGUGGUUAGCAGCAGCUAUCGCAGCGUCGGAUGUUCAGAGCAGCAGAAGCCGGCGUCGUCGGAUGUUGUGUUGCCCGCCACCAUGAGCUACACAGGCUUUGUCCAGGGAUCUGAAACCACUUUGCAGUCGACAUACUCGGAUACCAGCGCUCAGCCCACCUGUGAUUAUGGAUAUGGAACUUGGAACUCUGGGACAAACAGAGGCUACGAGGGCUAUGGCUAUGGCUAUGGCUAUGGCCAGGAUAACACCACCAACUAUGGGUAUGGUAUGGCCACUUCACACUCUUGGGAAAUGCCUAGCUCUGACACAAAUGCAAACACUAGUGCCUCGGGUAGCGCCAGUGCCGAUUCCGUUUUAUCCAGAAUUAACCAGCGCUUAGAUAUGGUGCCGCAUUUGGAGACAGACAUGAUGCAAGGAGGCGUGUACGGCUCAGGUGGAGAAAGGUAUGACUCUUAUGAGUCCUGCGACUCGAGGGCCGUCCUGAGUGAGCGCGACCUGUACCGGUCAGGCUAUGACUACAGCGAGCUUGACCCUGAGAUGGAAAUGGCCUAUGAGGGCCAAUACGAUGCCUACCGCGACCAGUUCCGCAUGCGUGGCAACGACACCUUCGGUCCCAGGGCACAGGGCUGGGCCCGGGAUGCCCGGAGCGGCCGGCCAAUGGCCUCAGGCUAUGGGCGCAUGUGGGAAGACCCCAUGGGGGCCCGGGGCCAGUGCAUGUCUGGUGCCUCUCGGCUGCCCUCCCUCUUCUCCCAGAACAUCAUCCCCGAGUACGGCAUGUUCCAGGGCAUGCGAGGCGGGGGCGCCUUCCCGGGCGGCUCCCGCUUUGGUUUCGGGUUUGGCAAUGGCAUGAAGCAGAUGAGGCGGACCUGGAAGACCUGGACCACAGCCGACUUCCGAACCAAGAAGAAGAAGAGAAAGCAGGGCGGCAGUCCUGACGAGCCAGAUAGCAAAGCCACCCGCACGGACUGCUCGGACAACAGCGACUCAGACAAUGAUGAGGGCACCGAGGGGGAAGCCACAGAGGGCCUUGAAGGCACCGAGGCUGUGGAGAAGGGCUCCAGAGUGGACGGAGAGGACGAGGAGGGAAAAGAGGAUGGGAGAGAAGAAGGCAAAGAGGAUCCAGAGAAGGGGGCCCUAACCACCCAGGAUGAAAAUGGCCAGACCAAGCGCAAGUUGCAGGCAGGCAAGAAGAGUCAGGACAAGCAGAAAAAGCGGCAGCGAGACCGCAUGGUGGAAAGGAUCCAGUUUGUGUGUUCUCUGUGCAAAUACCGGACCUUCUAUGAGGACGAGAUGGCCAGCCAUCUUGACAGCAAGUUCCACAAGGAACACUUUAAGUACGUAGGCACCAAGCUCCCUAAGCAGACGGCUGACUUUCUGCAGGAGUACGUCACUAACAAGACCAAGAAGACAGAGGAGCUCCGAAAAACUGUGGAGGACCUUGAUGGCCUCAUCCAGCAAAUCUACAGAGACCAGGAUCUGACCCAGGAAAUUGCCAUGGAGCAUUUUGUGAAGAAGGUGGAGGCAGCCCAUUGUGCAGCCUGCGACCUCUUCAUUCCCAUGCAGUUUGGGAUCAUCCAGAAGCAUCUGAAGACCAUGGAUCACAACCGGAACCGCAGGCAAAAAUACCCAACAGUGACAACAUCCAGUGCUGAUGGGCAGGCAGGAGGACCAGGUCAUUGUUUUAACACAGGUGGAAGAAGCAUGACUUGCAAAUGUUCUGCAGUUAAUUGGGCACUAUCACUUUGAAACCAAACCUGGUUAGAAUGAAAAGCACCAGCAUGGAAGUGUACAAGUUUAUUCUGGUGUUGCUGGGUUAUUGUGGAGAAGAUCUGGAAGCAACAUAAAUGUGCCUCACUUGGGAGAAUUUAUGGUGUGGUUAUCUGGGCAUCUAGAACCAGGAGGAUAAACUGUUGGCAAGUGAGAGUCACUGGGGGAACGGUCUAUAGUAGUAUCCUAAUUGUGUAUCUUUAGUUUAUUGUGAGCAUGUAUGAUGUCUGUUAAUAUUUUCCUCCAGUAGUAGAGAAAACGUGCUAAGGAAAAAAAAAAUGAAGAUGGAGAGAGUAGAAACAGCAAGUGAGAAGGCUUUCUGAAACAUGUAAAUGGAGUGGGAAGGACUCAAUGGGCUCUCCCACCCCACCAAAAAUAUCCUUCUUUUACCUUAUGGUUUUUAUGAUGAUCAAAGUGAGAUUUGCCUGUACUCCCACCAUGAGGAGAUGGCCCAGCAUAUUGAUGGAAAUCCUUCCAGACAAAAUGGCUCUGGCAUGCUCUGCAGACAGUACUAUAUUAUACACCUUUCUUAUGCCAGUGCAGAGAUGAGCCCGAUUUGAAGGGCUGCAUGAUGUUCUUUUGAAUGUACGAUUUAUUUAACCUCUUCUGCACUGAGGAACGUUUAGGUGUUUUCCCAUUUUUCACCACUACAAUCAGUGUGCACGCAUGUUUCCAGUUCUUAAAUUUAGGAUACGUUCUGGGAAGGGAUUAAUGAGACAGAUUUUUACUUUUCAUACAUUGUGUCAAACUGCUUUCCAAAAAAUACGGAAACAGUUGAUCCUCCCACCAGCAGAGAAGACUCUCUUCACCCUUGCAUGACUGGGAAUAAUUCUUCAUUCUUGGAAUUCUGUGGGUUAAAAAAGACGUUUCAUUAAAUAUCUGUUCCUGUUUUUAUAUCUUCCCCGUUGGCCCCAAAGUGCUCCUUGCCUAUUAGCCUAGUUGGCACCUUGUUACAGGUUGCACCUUUGGCUCUUAGUUUCUUAAUUGUUCACUGCUUAUAGCUUUUUUGUAAGCAAAUCAGAUUUCUGUAAUACAGCCGUAAAGAUAGAGAUAUAUAGAUCUGUAUUUUUAUUUACCUACAGUAAGUGUGGUGUGGAAGGAGAGGGAAUUUGAACAAAGAUCAGAUAGGUUGUGGUUCCAUGCUUGUGGAGUGGCCCUCUGUUGGUGGGGCUGGAAGUGCGUGGGUGCGGGGGCGGGGUGGGGUCCCUCUAAGCUGGCAGGGUUGGGGCAGGAACUUGUAGGGCACUCAGAGCAGCCUCUCCAGCUCCUUUUGCCCUGCCCGCAGCUCAUGAUGGAGCAGUCCAAGAAGUCCUCCCUCAUGGUGGCCCGCAGUAUUCUCAACAACAAGCUCAUCAGCAAGAAGCUGGAGCGCUACCUGAAGGGCGAGAACCCUUUCACCGACAGCCCCGAGGAGGAGAAGGAGCAGGAGGAGGCUGAGGGCGGUGCCCUGGACGAGGGGGCGCCGGGCGAAGCGGCAGGGAUCUCGGAGGGCGCAGAGGGCGUGCCGGCGCAGCCUCCCGUGCCCCCAGAGCCAGCCCCCGGGGCCGUGUCGCCGCCACCGCCGCCGCCCCCAGAGGAGGAGGAGGAGGGCGCCGUGCCCUUGCUGGGAGGGGCGCUGCAACGCCAGAUCCGCGGCAUCCCGGGCCUCGACGUGGAGGACGACGAGGAGGGCGGCGGGGGCGCCCCGUGACCCGAGCUCGGGGCGGGCGGGGCCCGCGUGGCCGAAGCUGGAAACCAAACCUAAUAAAGUUUUCCCAUCCUA
This is an RNA transcript of Pan troglodytes (chimpanzee), 3553 nucleotides long. It is a transcript of the gene named A-kinase anchoring protein 8 like, with no coding region annotated. The transcript has 14 exons. The record is from RefSeq and is a predicted model, not a curated record. Lineage: Eukaryota; Metazoa; Chordata; Mammalia; Primates; Hominidae.